RNAcentral lists this ribosomal RNA (734 nucleotides) under uncultured Entrophospora. Its description in RNAcentral is "SSU rRNA". It matches the Rfam family "Eukaryotic small subunit ribosomal RNA", at positions 369 to 1099 of the family's 1831-position model. Lineage: Eukaryota; Fungi; Glomeromycota; Glomeromycetes; Entrophosporales; Entrophosporaceae. The record is from RNAcentral.
AUUAGGGUUCGAUUCCGGAGAGGGAGCCUGAGAACGGCUACCACAUCCAAGGCUUGCAGCAGGCGCGCAAAUUACCCAAUCCCGACACGGGGAGGUAGUGACAAUAAAUAACAAUACGGGGCUCUUUCGGGUCUCGUAAUUGGAAUGAGUACAAUUUAAAUCCCUUAACGAGGAACAAUUGGAGGGCAAGUCUGGUGCCAGCAGCCGCGGUAAUUCCAGCUCCAAUAGCGUAUAUUAAAGUUGUUGCAGUUAAAAAGCUCGUAGUUGAAUUUCGGGAUUGACACAUCGGUCGUGCCUUAAGGGGUAUGAACUGGUGUAGUCAAUUUCUCACCUUCUGGAGAACCGCGAUGCCCUUAAUUGGGUGUCGCGGGGAACUAGGACCUUUACUUUGAAAAAAUUAGAGUGUUUAAAGCAGGCAUUUUGCUUGAAUACAUUAGCAUGGAAUAAUAAAAUAGGACGGCAUGAUUCUAUUUUGUUGGUUUCUAGGAUCACCGUAAUGAUUAAUAGGGAUAGUUGGGGGCAUUAGUAUUCAAUUGUCAGAGGUGAAAUUCUUGGAUUUAUUGAAGACUAACUACUGCGAAAGCAUUUGCCAAGGAUGUUUUCAUUAAUCAAGAACGAAAGUUAGGGGAUCGAAGACGAUCAGAUACUGUCGUAGUCUUAACCAUAAACUAUGCCGACUAGGAAUCAGACGAUGUUAAUUUUUUAAUGACUCGUUUGGCACCUUACGGGAAACC